Long non-coding RNA from Neopsephotus bourkii (Bourke's parrot), 611 nucleotides. RefSeq lists it as uncharacterized. The transcript is spliced from 3 exons. NCBI's taxonomy places the organism in Eukaryota, Metazoa, Chordata, Aves, Psittaciformes, Psittacidae. The record is from RefSeq and is a predicted model, not a curated record.
UUAGUGCUACCCACAGUCCAUCUAGCAGAUCAGAGUUGCUCUAUCACUUCUGAUACCAGUUCAGAAAGAGCAAUGCUUUUUCUUCCACAAGGCUGUUUUAGCAGUUCUGAACAAACAUCUACCUUAACUCCUCCUCUCCACUGGCUUUUGUUUGUUCUAAGGUGUUUCCAGAGCCACUUACGUGUAACAAAGAGUUUUAAUUCUGAAACCCGGAUCUAAUGUCCUAGUUGAGGACCACGCAGCUGCUGCAGUCACCACGGGAUAUAAUACCUGCUUAGCUAAAACUACUGUGAUACUUCUGCAAAGGCUGACCAAUGGGCAAGACAAAAACUUCGGGAGUCUUCCAUGGAUAAUAAAAUCGCUUCUAGCAAGUUUUACCAACAUGUUGAUGCAGUGGCUAGCAAAUAUGACUCAGUGGAAGAAGAGGAAGAAACUAGGAAUGAAUAUUCUUUCUCCUCAACUGCCUAGGCCUCAUGGAAGAGUACUUUCCCAAAGAAAGGGCAGUCCAAAGAGUGAGACUGGAAGAAACGAUCUUCAGAGACAGCUGGAAGUCGAGCAAGGAAUUAAAAACACAAGCACACAAACGGGCAGGAGCCGUGGGGACGGUGAAG